Molecule: RNA transcript, 1426 nt
Organism: Neopelma chrysocephalum (saffron-crested tyrant-manakin)
Lineage: Eukaryota; Metazoa; Chordata; Aves; Passeriformes; Pipridae
Gene: LXN
Gene name: latexin
Exons: 6
Source: RefSeq, a predicted model, not a curated record
CCGGGACAGUUCCCAGCGGGCCGGGCCGUGGCCAUGGAGCUGCCCCCGGGACAGUUCCCAUCCCGCCGGGCCGCAGCCGUGGCCGUGGCGUUCCUGCGGUACCGGCGGGGCGGCCCCGCCCGGGCGCUGCGGCUGCGGGAGCUGCGCCGGGCGCGCACCGAGGACAUCAAGGAUGUUGGGCACAAGUACUACCUGGAACUGGAGCUGGAAGAUGUCCUGGACAAAGACAGUACUGUUAACUGCACUGCUGAGGUUCUGUAUCAUCUGGGCAACAAAAACAUUGCUCCAGAUGUGCAGUUCACACUUGAAGGAGAACUAAAGAGCACAGAGGAAGCAGAUCACGUGUUCUACACUCGAAUCAGGAGCCUGGAAAAAGAGCUUGUGGCAGAGAACAUCCCAGACAGCCAUGGCCACGUGCCCCCAGAGCUGGAGCCCCUCCACCUGCUGGCCUGGGUCGCCUCGGGAUACCUGGUGUGGCAGAAUUCCACAGAAAACACCCAGCUCCAGCUGGCCCAAAUCAAACAUGUGAAGCAGGUGAGGAGAAGUGAUGAAUAUCUGCAGUUUGACUUCGUGGUUCUGCUGCACGAAAUGGUGUCCCAGGUAAAUAUUGCAUUUCUAAAAAGCCUUUUUUGUUGUUGUUUGAAGCCUGGCAGCUCUGCAGGCACACACAUGGUGGGGUGGACACAGAGGGUGAGGUCAGGGCCACCUUCCCUGUCCAUCCCAGCAUUCCAGGACACAACAGCAGCAAUUUCCAGCUGUUUCUGGGCUUUCCUGGGAAUGGCUGCGGUUCAAAACACUGGUGCUUCCCAGCUCUUUCCUCCUGGGAGAUCCCAGUGCCAAACUGGGUGGGGAUCAAGGGAAGCAGCAGCAUCCUGGAGUGCUCAGCAGAAUUCCAGGGGGCUGGGAAUGCUCCCAUGCCAGAGGACAGCACAGAGACCUCACCUAUCCCAGUAACUCCCAGCACAAACUGGUUCCCAGCAGUUUCCACACUUUGAGCUAUUCUCCAUCACAAUUUUGUGAUCUGAGCAAGUGUUUUCAUCAGGAAAACACAGAAAAUGGGAGAGAGAAGUUCCUGAUUGUGCAACCUCCUGGAAAAACCACCCAGGGAUCUCCCUCCCAGCUCCAGCUCCGCUGCUUCCAACCCCUGCACUCUCAAAGUUUUAAAUUAACAGAAUUCUAUGGAUUCCCCCAGUUUUUCUGUGUGUUUGGAGAAGAUAGACUGUGAGUUAAGAGUAACUCCUAAAGUGAUGGUCAGCUUUAAAUUUAAGCCAAGGUCAGCCUUAAAUUCAAAUCUAAACCAAGGUCAGCCUUAAAUUCCAGCCAAGUUCACUCGGGGCACCUGCAGUGGGUUUGGUUCCUGAGUUUUCCAUGAAGAGAAAUUCCAGACUAACCAAGAGGACGGAAGCCCAGCUUGUUCCCUGUUGUC